GCAGCAUUGGUCUAAUGGUUAGGAUAUCUACCUUCCAAGCAGAUAGUCCGGGUUCAAUUCCCGGACGGUGCA
Molecule: transfer RNA, 72 nt
Filed under: Perkinsus olseni
Lineage: Eukaryota; Perkinsozoa; Perkinsida; Perkinsidae
Description: tRNA-Gly
Rfam family: tRNA
About the family: Transfer RNA (tRNA) molecules are approximately 80 nucleotides in length.
Source: RNAcentral